Molecule: ribosomal RNA, 497 nt
Filed under: uncultured bacterium
Lineage: Bacteria
Description: partial 16S ribosomal RNA
Rfam family: Bacterial small subunit ribosomal RNA
Source: RNAcentral
GAUGAACGCUGGCGGCGUGCCUAAUACAUGCAAGUCGAGCGAACAGACGAGGAACUUGCUCCUCUUACGUUAGCGGCGGACGGGUGAGUAACACGUGGAUAACCUACCUAUAAGACUGGGAUAACUUCGGGAAACCGGAGCUAAUACCGGAUAAUAUAUUGAACCGCAUGGUUCAAUAGUGAAAGACGGUUUUGCUGUCACUUAUAGAUGGAUCCGCGCCGCAUUAGCUAGUUGGUAAGGUAACGGCUUACCAAGGCAACGAUGCGUAGCCGACCUGAGAGGGUGAUCGGCCACACUGGAACUGAGACACGGUCCAGACUCCUACGGGAGGCAGCAGUAGGGAAUCUUCCGCAAUGGGCGAAAGCCUGACGGAGCAACGCCGCGUGAGUGAUGAAGGUCUUCGGAUCGUAAAACUCUGUUAUUAGGGAAGAAUAAAUGUGUAAGUAACUAUGCACGUCUUGACGGUACCUAAUCAGAAAGCCACGGCUAACUACGUG